This 1550-nucleotide ribosomal RNA is filed under the name Klebsiella pneumoniae. RNAcentral describes it as "bacterial SSU rRNA". It matches the Rfam family "Bacterial small subunit ribosomal RNA". Lineage: Bacteria; Pseudomonadati; Pseudomonadota; Gammaproteobacteria; Enterobacterales; Enterobacteriaceae. The record is from RNAcentral.
AAAUUGAAGAGUUUGAUCAUGGCUCAGAUUGAACGCUGGCGGCAGGCCUAACACAUGCAAGUCGAGCGGUAGCACAGAGAGCUUGCUCUCGGGUGACGAGCGGCGGACGGGUGAGUAAUGUCUGGGAAACUGCCUGAUGGAGGGGGAUAACUACUGGAAACGGUAGCUAAUACCGCAUAACGUCGCAAGACCAAAGUGGGGGACCUUCGGGCCUCAUGCCAUCAGAUGUGCCCAGAUGGGAUUAGCUAGUAGGUGGGGUAAUGGCUCACCUAGGCGACGAUCCCUAGCUGGUCUGAGAGGAUGACCAGCCACACUGGAACUGAGACACGGUCCAGACUCCUACGGGAGGCAGCAGUGGGGAAUAUUGCACAAUGGGCGCAAGCCUGAUGCAGCCAUGCCGCGUGUGUGAAGAAGGCCUUCGGGUUGUAAAGCACUUUCAGCGGGGAGGAAGGCGGUGAGGUUAAUAACCUCACCGAUUGACGUUACCCGCAGAAGAAGCACCGGCUAACUCCGUGCCAGCAGCCGCGGUAAUACGGAGGGUGCAAGCGUUAAUCGGAAUUACUGGGCGUAAAGCGCACGCAGGCGGUCUGUCAAGUCGGAUGUGAAAUCCCCGGGCUCAACCUGGGAACUGCAUUCGAAACUGGCAGGCUAGAGUCUUGUAGAGGGGGGUAGAAUUCCAAGUGUAGCGGUGAAAUGCGUAGAGAUCUGGAGGAAUACCGGUGGCGAAGGCGGCCCCCUGGACAAAGACUGACGCUCAGGUGCGAAAGCGUGGGGAGCAAACAGGAUUAGAUACCCUGGUAGUCCACGCCGUAAACGAUGUCGAUUUGGAGGUUGUGCCCUUGAGGCGUGGCUUCCGGAGCUAACGCGUUAAAUCGACCGCCUGGGGAGUACGGCCGCAAGGUUAAAACUCAAAUGAAUUGACGGGGGCCCGCACAAGCGGUGGAGCAUGUGGUUUAAUUCGAUGCAACGCGAAGAACCUUACCUGGUCUUGACAUCCACAGAACUUUCCAGAGAUGGAUUGGUGCCUUCGGGAACUGUGAGACAGGUGCUGCAUGGCUGUCGUCAGCUCGUGUUGUGAAAUGUUGGGUUAAGUCCCGCAACGAGCGCAACCCUUAUCCUUUGUUGCCAGCGGUUAGGCCGGGAACUCAAAGGAGACUGCCAGUGAUAAACUGGAGGAAGGUGGGGAUGACGUCAAGUCAUCAUGGCCCUUACGACCAGGGCUACACACGUGCUACAAUGGCAUAUACAAAGAGAAGCGACCUCGCGAGAGCAAGCGGACCUCAUAAAGUAUGUCGUAGUCCGGAUUGGAGUCUGCAACUCGACUCCAUGAAGUCGGAAUCGCUAGUAAUCGUAGAUCAGAAUGCUACGGUGAAUACGUUCCCGGGCCUUGUACACACCGCCCGUCACACCAUGGGAGUGGGUUGCAAAAGAAGUAGGUAGCUUAACCUUCGGGAGGGCGCUUACCACUUUGUGAUUCAUGACUGGGGUGAAGUCGUAACAAGGUAACCGUAGGGGAACCUGCGGUUGGAUCACCUCCUUACCUUAAAGAA